This 164-nucleotide ribosomal RNA is filed under the name Trichoderma sp. RNAcentral's name for it is "partial large subunit ribosomal RNA". It matches the Rfam family "Eukaryotic large subunit ribosomal RNA", at positions 99 to 261 of the family's 3401-position model. The record is from RNAcentral. Lineage: Eukaryota; Fungi; Ascomycota; Sordariomycetes; Hypocreales; Hypocreaceae.
CGGCAAUUGCUCAAAUUUGAAAUCUGACUUCUUUUUGAGGUCCGAAUUGUAAUUUGUAGAGGAAGCUUUUGGUGAGGUGCCGCCCGAGUUCCCUGGAACGGGACGCCACAGAGGGUGAGAGCCCCGUCUGGCUGGCCACCGAGCCUCUGUAAAGCUCCUUCGAC